Molecule: non-coding RNA, 287 nt
Organism: Nylanderia fulva
Lineage: Eukaryota; Metazoa; Arthropoda; Insecta; Hymenoptera; Formicidae
Source: RefSeq, a predicted model, not a curated record
UUUAAUUUUUGCCUGAUACCGCAUGAUAUGGUUGAUCCUCUUUACGAAUUAUCGACGAAUUCAGAGAUAAUCUUUUUUCUUCGUUUCUACAUAUUUUAUUAGACGUGAAAUAAAGUUCAAGAAUAUUUUAUUUUAUAAUCAAGAAAAUAUAGAGUGUGCAACCUUUCUUAACAUCCACUUAUUUACUGGAGCACAAAGCCUGAACAUAAUCAAGAAAAGAUUGAUUGAGCGUGCGACCAGGUUUUACAUCCAUGUAUUUAUUGGGUCAGAAAGUAUUAAGUAAGUGU